CAAAACUCGUACCUUUUGCAUCAUGAUCUAGCCAGUAUACCCAAGCAAAGAGAACUCCAGUUUGAAACCCCGAAACCUCCGACGAGCUACCUCAAGGCCGCCUAAAAUAGGGCAAACCCAUCUCUGUGGCAAAAGAGUGGAAUGACCUUCAGGUAGAGGUGAAAAGCCUACCGAGUCAGGUUAUAGCUGGUUGCUCAGAAAACGAAUAGAAGUUCAGCCCCAUAAACGCCCCCAACCAACCAUAACAACCACACAGGUUAACAGGGCCACCUAUGGGAGUUAGUUAAAGGAGGUACAGCUCCCUUAACAAAGGACACAACCUUAAAUAGAAGGCUAAGGAAUAUACUUAACCAAAGGCCUAAAAGUUAUAGUAGGCCCAAAAGCAGCCACCUAAACAGAAAGCGUUAAAGCUCAAACCUAACUAAGCCUAACAUUCCAUUCAACCCUCCAAUGCCUCUAUAUAUUACUGAGCCAUUUUAUGCCCACAUAAAAGAGACUAUGCUAGAACAAGUAAUAAGAAGAAAGAACUUCUCCCCGCACAAGUGUACAUCGAACCGGACACACCACCGAUAAUUAACGAACCCAAAAACAGAGGGCAAUACACUACAAACAUCCUAACAAGAAAAUCACGUCCCAACCACAAUCGUUACCCCUACACAGGAGUGCACACCCUUAAAGGAAAGACUAAAAGGAUAAAAAGGAACUCGGCAAACCAAAACCCCGCCUGUUUACCAAAAACAUCGCCUCCUGCCACCAAC
RNAcentral lists this ribosomal RNA (758 nucleotides) under Opisthopterus tardoore (slender tardoor). Its description in RNAcentral is "partial 16S ribosomal RNA". The stretch from base 1 to 506 matches the Rfam family "Bacterial large subunit ribosomal RNA", at positions 593 to 1301 of the family's 2925-position model. The record is from RNAcentral. Lineage: Eukaryota; Metazoa; Chordata; Actinopteri; Clupeiformes; Pristigasteridae.